RNAcentral lists this ribosomal RNA (230 nucleotides) under uncultured bacterium. RNAcentral describes it as "partial 16S ribosomal RNA". It matches the Rfam family "Bacterial small subunit ribosomal RNA", at positions 563 to 791 of the family's 1533-position model. The record is from RNAcentral.
AAGCGUGCGACAGGCGGUUAUGUAAGACAGAUGUGAAAUCCCCGGGCUCAACCUGGGAACUGCAUUAGUGACUGCAUAGCUGGAGUACGGCAGAGGGGGAUGGAAUUCCGCGUGUAGCAGUGAAAUGCGUAGAUAUGCGGAGGAACACCGAUGGCGAAGGCAAUCCCCUGGGCCUGUACUGACGCUCAUGCACGAAAGCGUGGGGAGCAAACAGGAUUAGAUACCCUUGU